GAUACCCCGGUAGUCCUAGCUGUAAACGAUGUAGAUUUGGCGUUGGCGGAGUUAAAUCUGCCAGUGCGGUAGCUAACGCGAUAAGUCUACCGCCUGGGGACUACGAUCGCAAGAUUAAAACUCAAAGGAAUUGACGGGAGCCCGCACAAGCAGCGGAGCGUGUGGUUUAAUUCGAUGCUACACGAAGAACCUUACCAGGGUUUGACAUGUAAGUGGUAGUGAUCCGAAAGGUGAACGACCCCUCGGGGAGCUUACACAGGUGCUGCAUGGCUGUCGUCAGCUCGUGUCGUGAGAUGUUCGGUUAAGUCCGCUAACGAGCGCAACCCUCACUGUGUGUUACAAGUGUCACACGGGACUGCCGGUUUUAAGCCGGAGGAAGGCGGGGAUGACGUCAAGUCAGCAUGGCCUUUAUAUCCUGGGCUACACACACGCUACAAUGGUCGGUACAAUAGGUUGCCAAGCCGCGAGGCGGAGCCAAUCCCUAAAGCCGGCCUCAGUUCAGAUUGCAGGCUGCAACUCGCCUGCAUGAAGCUGGAGUUGCUAGUAACCGCAGGUCAGCUAUACUGCGGUGAAUACGUUCCCGGGUCUUGUACACACCGCCCGCCACGUCAUGGAAGCUGGCAACACCUGAAGCCUGUAUCCUAACCGCAAGGAAGGAGCAGUCGAGGGUGCGUUGGCUAACCGGGACGGAAGUCGUAACAAGGUAACCGU
RNAcentral lists this ribosomal RNA (711 nucleotides) under uncultured bacterium ACE-28. RNAcentral describes it as "bacterial SSU rRNA". It matches the Rfam family "Bacterial small subunit ribosomal RNA", at positions 781 to 1503 of the family's 1533-position model. Lineage: Bacteria; Bacillati; Chloroflexota. The record is from RNAcentral.